Mesoplodon densirostris (Blainville's beaked whale) is the source of this 105-nucleotide small nuclear RNA. The record is from RefSeq and is a predicted model, not a curated record. Lineage: Eukaryota; Metazoa; Chordata; Mammalia; Artiodactyla; Ziphiidae.
GUGCUCACUUCUGCAGCAUAUAUACUAAAAUUGGAAUGAUAAGGAGGAUUAGCAUGGCCCCUGCCCAAGGAUAACAUGCAAAUUCAUGAAGUGUUUCAUAUUUAA